GUUUGAUCCUGGCUCAGGAUGAACGCUAGCGGCAGGCUUAACACAUGCAAGUCGAGGGGUAUAGGAAGCUUGCUUCCUAGAGACCGGCGCACGGGUGCGUAACGCGUAUGCAAUCUACCUUUUGCAGAGGGAUAGCCCAGAGAAAUUUGGAUUAAUACCUCAUAGUAUGUGAGAAUGGCAUCAUUUUCACAUUAAAGUCACAACGGCAAAAGAUGAGCAUGCGUCCCAUUAGCUUGUUGGUAAGGUAACGGCUUACCAAGGCAACGAUGGGUAGGGGUCCUGAGAGGGAGAUCCCCCACACUGGUACUGAGACACGGACCAGACUCCUACGGGAGGCAGCAGUGAGGAAUAUUGGACAAUGGGCGCAAGCCUGAUCCAGCCAUGCCGCGUGCAGGAUGGCGGUCCUAUGGAUUGUAAACUGCUUUUGUACAGGAAGAAACACUGGUUCGUGAACCAGCUUGACGGUACUGUAAGAAUAAGGAUCGGCUAACUCCGUGCCAGCAGCCGCGGUAAUACGGAGGAUCCAAGCGUUAUCCGGAAUCAUUGGGUUUAAAGGGUCCGUAGGCGGUUUAGUAAGUCAGUGGUGAAAGCCCAUCGCUCAACGGUGGAACGGCCAUUGAUACUGCUAGACUUGAAUUAUUAGGAAGUAACUAGAAUAUGUAGUGUAGCGGUGAAAUGCUUAGAGAUUACAUGGAAUACCAAUUGCGAAGGCAGGUUACUACUAAUGGAUUGACGCUGAUGGACGAAAGCGUGGGUAGCGAACAGGAUUAGAUACCCUGGUAGUCCACGCCGUAAACGAUGGAUACUAGCUGUUGGGCGCAAGUUCAGUGGCUAAGCGAAAGUGAUAAGUAUCCCACCUGGGGAGUACGUUCGCAGAAUGAAACUCAAAGGAAUUGACG
RNAcentral lists this ribosomal RNA (899 nucleotides) under uncultured bacterium. RNAcentral describes it as "bacterial SSU rRNA". It matches the Rfam family "Bacterial small subunit ribosomal RNA", at positions 11 to 915 of the family's 1533-position model. The record is from RNAcentral.